UACGUAGGGGGCAAGCGUUGUCCGGAUUUAUUGGGCGUAAAGAGCGUGUAGGCGGUCUGGCAGGUCCGCUGUGAAAACUCGAGGCUCAACCUCGAGACGCCGAUGGAAACCGUCUGGCUAGAGUCCGGAAGAGGAGAGUGGAAUUCCCGGUGUAGCGGUGAAAUGCGCAGAUAUCGGGAAGAACACCCGUGGCUAAGGCGGCUCUCUGGUACGGUACUGACGCUGAGACGCGAAAGCGUGGGGAGCGAACAGG
RNAcentral lists this ribosomal RNA (253 nucleotides) under uncultured bacterium. RNAcentral's name for it is "partial 16S ribosomal RNA". It matches the Rfam family "Bacterial small subunit ribosomal RNA", at positions 524 to 776 of the family's 1533-position model. The record is from RNAcentral.